This 253-nucleotide ribosomal RNA is filed under the name uncultured bacterium. RNAcentral describes it as "partial 16S ribosomal RNA". It matches the Rfam family "Bacterial small subunit ribosomal RNA", at positions 524 to 776 of the family's 1533-position model. The record is from RNAcentral.
UACAGAGGGGGCGAGCGUUGUUCGGAAUUACUGGGCGUAAAGGGCUCGUAGGCGGCCAACUAAGUCGGACGUGAAAUCCCUCGGCUUAACCGGGGAACUGCGUCCGAUACUGGAUGGCUUGAGAUUGGGAGAGGGAUGCGGAAUUCCAGGUGUAGCGGUGAAAUGCGUAGAUAUCUGGAGGAACACCGGUGGCGAAGGCGGCAUCCUGGACCGGCAUUGACGCUGAGGCGCGAAAGCUAGGGGAGCAAACGGG